AUUGAACGCUGGCGGCAUGCCUUACACAUGCAAGUCGAACGGUAACAGGUCUUCGGAUGCUGACGAGUGGCGAACGGGUGAGUAAUACAUCGGAACGUGCCUAGUAGUGGGGGAUAACUACUCGAAAGAGUGGCUAAUACCGCAUGAGAUCUACGGAUGAAAGCAGGGGAUCGCAAGACCUUGUGCUACUAGAGCGGCCGAUGGCGGAUUAGGUAGUUGGUGGGAUAAAAGCUUACCAAGCCGACGAUCUGUAGCUGGUCUGAGAGGACGAUCAGCCACACUGGGACUGAGACACGGCCCAGACUCCUACGGGAGUCAGCAGGGGGGAAUUUUGGACAAUGGGCGAAAGCCUGAUCCAUCAAUGCCGCGUGCAGGAUGAAGGCCUUCGGGUUGUAAACUGCUUUUGUACGGAACGAAAAGCCCCGGGUUAAUACCCUGGGGUCAUGACGGUACCGUAAGAAUAAGCACCGGCUAACUACGUGCCAGCCGCCGCAGUAA
Molecule: ribosomal RNA, 498 nt
Filed under: uncultured bacterium
Lineage: Bacteria
Description: partial 16S ribosomal RNA
Rfam family: Bacterial small subunit ribosomal RNA
Source: RNAcentral